Molecule: long non-coding RNA, 374 nt
Filed under: Aedes aegypti (yellow fever mosquito)
Lineage: Eukaryota; Metazoa; Arthropoda; Insecta; Diptera; Culicidae
Description: lncRNA AAEL023011
Source: RNAcentral
GCAAAAUAAAUUCAAAUCGUUAAAAAAAACCUUUUGUGAGGAAAUUUCCGGCCUGAGCUGAUACCAGAUUCGGGGCACUUGGAGCAUGAUGCGGCCUCCAUCAAAGCGAUCAGCCUCCACCAAGCAACGCAUUCGACCUGACUUAAGAAGGUAUCCGGGACCUCGUCCGGGACUGGAAAUGGAAACCGACAAUACUAGCUGAAUUUGCUCUCGCAGCCCCUCCCAGCAACAAAUAUCGCGGAAAGCUGGUUUCGUUUGGAAGGAUGUUCCUGUUACAUUUUAUGCCGGAUUUGCUGCUGCAUACCAGCUAGACUGAAUGAUUUCCGGAUCGGCGGAUAGUCGCUUCUUCAACAUCAGAGGACAAAUAAAAGUGG